GUCCCACAGUAUCACAGAGAGGUCAGACAGGUGGAGUAGUCCCACAGUAUCACAGAGAGGUCAGACAGGUGGAGUAGUCCCACAGUAUCACAGAGAUCAGACAGGUGGAGUAGUCCCACAGUAUCACAGAGAGGUCAGACAGGUGGAGUAGUCCUACAGUAUUACAGAGAGGUCAGACAGGUGGAGUAGUCCCACAGUAUCACAGAGAUCAGACAGGUAGAGUAGUCCUACAGUAUCACAGUGAGGUCAGACAGGUAGAGUAGUCCUACAGUAUUACAGAGAGGUCAGACAGGUGGAGUAGUCCUACAGUAUCACAGAGAGGUCAGACAGGUGGAGUAGCCCCACAGUAUCACAGACUGGCCCUGAUAACUAGCUAACUAACCUACUAUCUACUAGUCUACUGCCCCUGAUAACUAGCUAACUAACCGACUAUCUACUAGUCUA
This is a long non-coding RNA of Oncorhynchus tshawytscha (Chinook salmon), 444 nucleotides long. The record is from Ensembl. Lineage: Eukaryota; Metazoa; Chordata; Actinopteri; Salmoniformes; Salmonidae.